UACGGAGGGUGCAAGCGUUAUCCGGAUUCAUUGGGUUUAAAGGGUGCGUAGGCGGCUAUAUAAGUCAGUGGUGAAAAUAUCGGGCUCAACCCGAUACGUGCCAUUGAUACUGUGUAGCUUGAAUCAAAUCGACGCGGGAGGAAUGCGACAAGUAGCGGUGAAAUGCUUAGAUAUGUCGCAGAACACCGAUAGCGAAGGCAUCUCGCGAGGUUUCGAUUGACGCUGAGGCACGAAAGCGUGGGUAUCAAACAGGAUUAGAUACCCUGGUAGUCCACGCAGUAAACGAUGAUAACUGGGUUUUUGUAGUGUAACUAUGAGAGCCUUUAGCGAAAGCAUUAAGUUAUCCACCUGGGGAGUACGUUCGCAAGUAUGAA
RNAcentral lists this ribosomal RNA (374 nucleotides) under uncultured bacterium. RNAcentral's name for it is "bacterial SSU rRNA". It matches the Rfam family "Bacterial small subunit ribosomal RNA", at positions 524 to 898 of the family's 1533-position model. The record is from RNAcentral.